AUGGGGCGGGGUGAGGCCCUACAUGUAAGGCGAGCCCGGGGCCACCGUCUCUUCCCUGCCCUGCCCUUCACGGCUGCAGAAGGACCGGCCACAGCCUCCAUUGUUCCCCGUCGUUCUCAAAACUUUCCCGAAAGACCAGGCCAGCUGUCCACCUGCACCCGUGUGAACUUGAGUUUUUCUUUUGUGAGGAGCCUCAGCUGCGGGAGGCAGGAAGCUGGUUUUUUCCAGGAGGCGGGCAGCCUUCGCUGGCCUCCCAAGCUGCUCCAAGGUUGGAUCCUGGUUGGGGUCAGGCUGGGCACGCAGGCCGCUCGCCACAGGCUCAGAGGUUCACCAGGCUCCUCCUUCCAUCCUGCCGGGGUGCUGCUUCCUGCCGCUCUUUUUACCUGACCAGGUAAAAAGUUUAUUUCUAAAGUCGAGCUGUCGCCUGCCCCUGGCAGUGCCAUCCCCCGGCGGCGGGCCGUCGUGCAGUCGGGUCCUUGCGGGGGCUCCCGUCCGAUGACUGUCGAUCAGUGCGUCCGUGAACAUCUUUGAGCGUAAAGCUUUGCGUCUGUAUUUAGAGUGACGUCCCUCAGAGAAAGUCUGAUGAGCGCAAGCAGUAGAGAAAAGGCUCUGGGGGGGGGACCCCUGCCUGCCACAGACAGACGCCGCAUUUCCCCACCCGCGGGCACACCUGAGCCUUCUGUUUUUCUUCACCUUUGUUGAUUGGAAUGACAAAAAAAUGAUACCUCAUGGCUUAUUUCUUUGUGAAAGUAAUAAACAGGUCUUCCCACCAUCCGUAGAGCCCCCCUAUGAAGCCUUGAGUAAGCCAAGAUGAUCAAAGCAAAGAGGCACAUGGGAAAAAAUGCUAGCACAUCCAGACCCAAAAAAUUACCCUUCUUAGGCUUUUCUGAUACCUUAGGGUUCAUCUUGCUAAUGGAUGCACAAUAUAAAUCAAGAGAGGCUCACAGACACAGCUCAGGGCUCUGGGGCGGGCGGUGGGGCUGCUGGGGGCGGUUCCCAGGAAGGGACCCUGCGGGCCGCGUCAGCUGAACGCUGUUUUCU
Molecule: long non-coding RNA, 1041 nt
Filed under: Suricata suricatta (meerkat)
Lineage: Eukaryota; Metazoa; Chordata; Mammalia; Carnivora; Herpestidae
Description: lncRNA (ENSSSUG00005011830.1)
Source: RNAcentral